This 291-nucleotide unclassified non-coding RNA is filed under the name uncultured bacterium. RNAcentral describes it as "contains 16S-23S intergenic spacer region". The record is from RNAcentral.
GCUCCUAAGCCAUGUUUGACCGCUGCCGCUGCAUCUUGCACCGAGCGUCCUGGUCGAAAACCGUAUGAGUGCGGCUCAAAGACCGCCUCCCAUUCGGGUUCCAGAGCCAGUUUCACGAGGCAUUGCAUCACCCGAUCUUUCAUCGCGGGAAUUCCCAGAGGACGUUGCUUGCCGUUAGCUUUUGGGAUGAACACCCGUCGCACCGGCAGAGGCACGUAGUCCUUCAGGCUCAGACCGUCCUUGAACAAACGCACCCGAUCCCGAUCGGAUUUACUUACGACUCCGUCGAUU